This 510-nucleotide ribosomal RNA is filed under the name uncultured bacterium. RNAcentral describes it as "bacterial SSU rRNA". It matches the Rfam family "Bacterial small subunit ribosomal RNA", at positions 28 to 535 of the family's 1533-position model. The record is from RNAcentral.
GACGAACGCUGGCGGCGUGCCUAACACAUGCAAGUCGAGCGGAGUCGAUCGACGGAAGCCUUCGGGCGGAAGAUGGUUGACUUAGCGGCGGAUGGGUGAGUAACGCGUGGGCAACCUGCCUCGAAGACCGGGAUAACAGACCGAAAGGGCUGCUAAUACCGGAUGUGGUCAAGGAUCCGCAUGGAUCUUUGAUUAAAGGGGAAACCCGUUUCGAGAUGGGCCCGCGUCCUAUCAGCUAGUUGGUGAGGUAAAAGCUCACCAAGGCGACGACGGGUAGCCGGCCUGAGAGGGUGACCGGCCACACUGGAACUGAGACACGGUCCAGACUCCUACGGGGGGCGGCAGUGGGGAAUCUUCCACAAUGGGCGAAAGCCUGAUGGAGCGACGCCGCGUGAGCGAAGAAGGCCUUCGGUUGUAAAGCUCUGUCUGGAGGGACGAAGGAAGUGACGGUACCUCCGGAGGAAGCCACGGCUAACUACGUGCCAGCAGCCGCGGUAAAAUAGACGUACU